UGCAUGGAGCCGCCAUUGGUACAGAUCUUGGUGGUAGUAGCAAAUAAUCGAAUGAGACCUUGGAGGACUGAAGUGGAGAAGGGUUUCGUGUGAACAGUGGUUGAUCACGAGUUAGUCGGUCCUAAGUUCAAGGCGAAAGCCGAAAAUUUUCAAGUUUUAAAAAUGUCAAAUGAAAUAAUAAAUAAUAAAACACUUGAAUAAUUUUGAACGAAAGGGAAUACGGUUCCAAUUCCGUAACCUGUUGAGUAUCCGUUUGUUAUUAAAUAUGGGCCUCGUGCUCAUCCUGGCAACAGGAACGACCAUAAAGAAGCCGUCGAGAGGUAUCGGAAGAGUUUUCUUUUCUGUUUUAUAGCCGUACUACCAUGGAAGUCUUUCGCAGAGAGAUAUGGUAGAUGGGCUAGAAGAGCAUGACAUAUACUGUUGUGUCGAUAUUUUCUCCUCGGACCUUGAAAAUUUAUGGUGGGGAUACGCAAACUUCUCAACAGGCCGUACCAAUAUCCGCAGCUGGUCUCCAAGGUGAAGAGUCUCUAGUCGAUAGAAUAAUGUAGGUAAGGGAAGUCGGCAAAUUAGAUCCGUAACUUCGGGAUAAGGAUUGGCUCUGAAGAUUGAGAUAGUCGGGCUUGAUUGGGAAACAAUAACAUGGUUUAUGUGCUCGUUCUGGGUAAAUAGAGUUUCUAUCAUUUAUGAUAGUUAUUUGUUCCCCGGAUAGUUAGUUACGUAGCCAAUUGUGGAACUUUCUUGCUAAAAUUUUUAAGAAUACUAAUUUUUAAUUAGUUCUUUUAAAUUAUAACGAUUAUCAAUUAACAAUCAAUUCAGAACUGGCACGGACUUGGGGAAUCCGACUGUCUAAUUAAAACAAAGCAUUGUGAUGGCCCUAGCGGGUGUUGACACAAUGUGAUUUCUGCCCAGUGCUCUGAAUGUCAAAGUGAAGAAAUUCAAGUAAGCGCGGGUCAACGGCGGGAGUAACUAUGACUCUCUUAAGGUAGCCAAAUGCCUCGUCAUCUAAUUAGUGACGCGCAUGAAUGGAUUAACGAGAUUCUACUGUCCCUAUCUACUAUCUAGCGAAACCACAGCCAAGGGAACGGGCUUGGAAUAAUUAGCGGGGAAAGAAGACCCUUUUGAGCUUGACUCUAAUCUGGCAGUGUAAGGAGACAUAAGAGGUGUAGAAUAAGUGGGAGAUAUUAUUCCUUGUGUUUGAUAUCGCCAAUGAAAUACCACUACUCUUAUUGUUUCCUUACUUACUUGAUUAAAUGGAACGUGUAUCAUUUCCUAGCCAUUAUACGGAUAUAUUUAUUAUAUCUUAUGGUAUUGGGUUUUGAUGCAAGCUUCUUGAUCAAAGUAUCACGAGUUUGUUAUAUAAUCGCAAACAAAUUCUUUAAUGAGAGAGUGCAUUUAUGUAUUUUUAAUUUGAAAUAUUUGGUAUAACUCCAAUUACUCAGGUAUGAUCCAAUUCAAGGACAUUGCCAGGUAGGGAGUUUGACUGGGGCGGUACAUCUCUCAAAUAAUAACGGAGGUGUCCCAAGGCCAGCUCAGUGCGGACAGAAACCACACAUAGAGCAAAAGGGCAAAUGCUGACUUGAUCUCGGUGUUCAGUACACACAGGGACAGCAAAAGCUCGGCCUAUCGAUCCUUUUGGUUUAAAGAGUUUUUAACAAGAGGUGUCAGAAAAGUUACCAUAGGGAUAACUGGCUUGUGGCGGCCAAGCGUUCAUAGCGACG
RNAcentral lists this non-coding RNA (1718 nucleotides) under Drosophila willistoni. RNAcentral's name for it is "Eukaryotic large subunit ribosomal RNA". It matches the Rfam family "Eukaryotic large subunit ribosomal RNA", at positions 1424 to 2862 of the family's 3401-position model. The record is from Rfam by way of RNAcentral. Lineage: Eukaryota; Metazoa; Arthropoda; Insecta; Diptera; Drosophilidae.